UCAUGGCUCAGAUUGAACGCUGGCGGCAUGCCUUACACAUGCAAGUCGAACGGCAGCACGGGGCAACCUGGUGGCGAGUGGCGAACGGGUGAGUAAUGCAUCGGAACGUGCCAUUGAGUGGGGGGUAACGGUAGCGAAAGUUACGCUAAUACCGCAUAUUCUGUGAGCAGGAAAGCAGGGGGAUCGCAAGACCUUGCGCUCUUUGAGCGGCCGAUGUCAGAUUAGCUAGUUGGUGAGGUAACGGCUUACCAAGGCGACGAUCUGUAGCGGGUCUGAGAGGAUGAUCCGCCACACUGGAACUGAGACACGGUCCAGACUCCUACGGGAGGCAGCAGUGGGGAAUUUUGGACAAUGGGGGCAACCCUGAUCCAGCCAUGCCGCGUGAGUGAAGAAGGCCUUCGGGUUGUAAAGCUCUUUCGGCCGGGAAGAAAUCGCAUGGGUUAAUACCCUGUGUGGAUGACGGUACCGGCAUAAGAAGCACCGGCUAACUACGUG
Molecule: ribosomal RNA, 495 nt
Filed under: uncultured bacterium
Lineage: Bacteria
Description: bacterial SSU rRNA
Rfam family: Bacterial small subunit ribosomal RNA
Source: RNAcentral